UGGUGGAGCGAUUUGUCUGGUCAAUUCCGAUAACGAACGAGACUCUAGCCUACUAAAUAGUUCGGGGACCCCCACAAAGGGGCCCCGCUUCAACUUCUUAGAAGGACAGGUGGCGUUUAGCCACACGAGAUUGAGCAAUAACA
RNAcentral lists this ribosomal RNA (143 nucleotides) under uncultured eukaryote. Its description in RNAcentral is "partial 18S ribosomal RNA". It matches the Rfam family "Eukaryotic small subunit ribosomal RNA", at positions 1299 to 1458 of the family's 1831-position model. The record is from RNAcentral.